Esox lucius (northern pike) is the source of this 2358-nucleotide long non-coding RNA. The record is from Ensembl. Lineage: Eukaryota; Metazoa; Chordata; Actinopteri; Esociformes; Esocidae.
CUUCCUUUAAGAUAGAAUCUUGAUAUCUGAGUCACUUUCAUUGAACUUGGGGUCAAGCAGACCUCCAUCAUAACCCAAAAACAACAACAGAACUCCUAUUUCCCCACAAAAUAAUUAUUUCUCAUUGCUUUCCUACAAAAACAGUUUAAUAAAGUUCUCUACCAAAGAUCCAAAACUCAGUUGAGUAAAUCAUGUCAAACAAAAUCAGUCCUUAUUUCAUGAAAAAGGUCACAUCUGAGUUUCUAUUUGCAACAAUUUCAUAGAGUAAGAAAGGUUCCGAUUUCAGGAAAACAAGAGAUAAUGAUUAGAUUACAGGUUUUCUCGAUUGCUAUGAUGCUUGUACAGUUUUUCACAACCACUAACAUGCUAAAACUUUUUUUUUUAACAAUGUUCACAAAGCCUUUUUCAAAGUUCCAGGUGGAAGACCAUUUACCAUUCACAUUAAAACAUACACAUCUCUCUUUGUCACCAUACUGUCACCAUUCAAUUACCAAUCUCAAAGCAUUACAAGUCCAACACUCUCAACACUAUUGUCAGUGUGUUACUUAACUUGACUAACUACUUAGUCAAGAGGUAAUCAGGAAGUUGGCUUGAAUAAAAAGGACCACAGGUGAACUCACCUUUGUUUUGGAACAAUGGAUGACAAUGUCAAAGAGAAGUAGAGGAAGAGGAAGAAAGAGAGGUGGACAUGGGAGAGGAAGAAGAACAAUAAUCUCUAAGGAGAUUUGUGACAAUGUACUGGACCAUGUUCUUGUACUUGGUGUGACAAUGAGGGUAGCAGGAAGCAGAGAGUACAGACAAACCUGAGCUGCUUUUACUGUUAAACGGUAAUUUACUGUAAAAAGUCUAUGCUGACUAUCCAUUUUUCUGUACUCUGUAUGUAUUAGCACAAGUAGAACAAUACAGGAAAAUUACAUGAACGUGAAGCUUGUAUUCAAAUUCUCUAAAAUGUAUUUAAAUGUAAAUGUGUUCCAUACACUACUUCACAUCAAAUUGAGACACCAGCGGACGAUAGUAUAAGUAGCAAUUGUGAACAUGGUUGUCAAAAACAACCUCAUUCUUUUAGAAAAUCCAAUGAAGGAAAAUAAUUCAGGAGAAUGGCAUCUUCAAAAGUAUAGAGACAGUCAGAAAGUAAGUGAAAGACUCUGGCCCAGGUUGAAUACAGUUUUUUAUCUAUUAUCUAUUGUAAAAAAUGUAAUCCAAAUGAAACUUGGGUCAAGUUUUGAUCUCCUUUUUAACCUGAUGAGCACAGCAAUGUUCUGUGUUUGCAAAACUAAAAUCUCUGAUUGCUUUCACACACUAUGUCAAUGCUAAGCACAUAUGUACUAUAAUUAGUACUAUAAUUAUUAUGAGAUAUAGUUAUACUAUAAUUAGUAUUUGUUGUAGUUAUAAUUGGUAUUAGUUAAAGUAACACCCUAAUUAAUAUUAGUUUGAACCAUAAAAGGAAGGCAAACAUGUUGCAUGACCACUUCACAGACUGAUGUGUUACAUUUAUUAACACUAUUUAACAGGUUCUGUGGUGGUUCUAUACAGUCCAGGUUCUGUAGUGGUUCUCUUCAGUCCAGGUUCUGUGGUGGUUCUCUACAGUCCAAGUUCUAUGGUGGUUCCCUUCAGUCCAGGAUAUGUGGUGGAUUUCUUCAGUCCAGGUUCUGUGGUGGUUCAAUGCAGCCCAGGUUCUGUGGUGGUUCUAUACAGUCCAGGUUCUGUGCUGGUUCUAUUCAGUCCAGGUUCUGUGGUGUUUCCCUUCAGUCCAGGUUCUUUGGUGGUUCUAUACAGUCCAUGUUCUGUGUUGAUUCUCUUCAGUCCAGGUUCUGUGGUGGUUCUCUUCAGUCCAGGUUCGGUGAUGGUUCUAUUCAGUCCAGUGUCUGUGGUGGUUCUCUUCAGUACAGGUUCUGUCAUGGUUCUCUACUGUCCAGGUUCUGUGGUGGUUCUCUACAGUCCAGUUUCUGUUUGGGUUCUCUUCAUUCCAGGUUCUGUGUUGGUUCAAUACAAUCUAGGUUCUGUGUUGGUUCUAUACAGUCCAGGUUCUGUGUUGGUUUUCUUCAGUCCAGGUUCUGUGGUGGUUCUCUUCAGUCCAGAUUCUGUGGUAGUUCUUUACAAUCCAGGUUCUGUGUUGGUUUUCUUCAGUCCAGGUUCUGUGGUGGUUCUCUUCAGUCCAGGUUCUGUGUUGGUUCUAUACAGUCCAGGUUCUGUGUUGGUUUUCUUCAGUCCAGGUUCUGUGGUGGUUCUCUUCAGUCCAGGUUCUGUGGUGGUUCUCUUCAGUCCAGAUUCUGUGGUAGUUCUUUACAAUCCAGGUUCUGUGGUGGUUCUCUUCAGUCCAGAUUCUGUGGUGGUUCUCAUAAGUUCUCAUAAACAUGG